This 31-nucleotide non-coding RNA is filed under the name Homo sapiens (human). Lineage: Eukaryota; Metazoa; Chordata; Mammalia; Primates; Hominidae. The record is from RNAcentral.
UAAGAAGGUGAUUUAUAGCCAGCCUAGUGCC